CGUAGAUGAAGAGAGAUAAAUCAGCUACCGCUGAGCCCAACGUGAGGAAGAAACCGCCUUUCGUCUGACC
Giardia lamblia ATCC 50803 is the source of this 70-nucleotide non-coding RNA. The record is from Rfam. Lineage: Eukaryota; Fornicata; Diplomonadida; Hexamitidae.